UUACUCAAUGGUCAUCGUGCCGCUCUACGACACGUGGGACCAGAUGCCUGUGCAUAUAUCAUUAAUCAGACAUGAGUGUAGUAGUAGUGGAGGACGAUUCCAAGUGUAACCAACUAUUAGAUAGGGCGCCGCGGUGUGUUUAAGGAGACUGAUAGUGAUCAAAGACACGAGACCGGCCACAAACCAACGAGCCAAGAAUCGAGGAAUCGAAGUUCUCAGGUUCGGGAUGUCGAGGACUAGGAGCUUCCAAAUCCUUUGCAGAAGUGCCACCAAAGCCAAACGACCUAUGUACGGUUUGUUACACAUCAGGUACAACAGGCAAUCCGAAAGGAGUGAUGCUAAGCCACGGUAA
Molecule: long non-coding RNA, 352 nt
Filed under: Bemisia tabaci
Lineage: Eukaryota; Metazoa; Arthropoda; Insecta; Hemiptera; Aleyrodidae
Description: lncRNA ENSSWEETPG006492
Source: RNAcentral